This 28-nucleotide non-coding RNA is filed under the name Mus musculus (house mouse). Lineage: Eukaryota; Metazoa; Chordata; Mammalia; Rodentia; Muridae. The record is from RNAcentral.
UGAUAACCUUUUUGCCUAUUUUGCAAUC